GCCAGAAAAGCGUCCCGAAUAUCUUCAUAGGAGGCGUACACGUCGGGGGUAACUCAGACUU
RNAcentral lists this transfer RNA (61 nucleotides) under Climacostomum virens. The record is from RNAcentral. Lineage: Eukaryota; Ciliophora; Heterotrichea; Heterotrichida; Climacostomidae.